Molecule: transfer RNA, 68 nt
Filed under: Physunio superbus
Lineage: Eukaryota; Metazoa; Mollusca; Bivalvia; Unionida; Unionidae
Description: tRNA-Cys
Source: RNAcentral
UGCCUUGUAGUAUAUACCAAGCCUAAUACAAUAAACUGCAACUUUAUUAAAGCGACUAGCCAAGGCAU